GUGGGGAAUCUUCCGCAAUGGACGAAAGUCUGACGGAGCAACGCCGCGUGAGUGAAGAAGGUUUUCGGAUCGUAAAGCUCUUUCGUUAGGGACGAACGUGCUCUUUGUGAAUAAUGAGGAGUAAUGACGGUACCUAAAUAAGAAGCCACGGCUAACUACGUGCCAGCAGCCGCGGUAAUACGUAGGUGGCAAGCGUUGUCCGGAAUUAUUGGGCGUAAAGCGCGCGCAAGCGGGAUAUCAAGUCUGUCUUAAAAAUGCGAGGCUCAACCUCGUGAGGGGACAGAAACUGGUAUUCUUGAGUGUCGGAGAGGAAAGUGGAAUUCCAAGUGUAGCGGUGAAAUGCGUAGAGAUUUGGAAGAACACCAGUGGCGAAGGCGACUUUCUGGACGAUGUCUGACGCUGAGGCGCGAAAGCUAGGGGAGCGAACGGGAUUAGAUACCCUGGUAGUCC
This 450-nucleotide ribosomal RNA is filed under the name uncultured bacterium. RNAcentral describes it as "partial 16S ribosomal RNA". It matches the Rfam family "Bacterial small subunit ribosomal RNA", at positions 354 to 796 of the family's 1533-position model. The record is from RNAcentral.